Molecule: non-coding RNA, 148 nt
Filed under: Pan troglodytes (chimpanzee)
Lineage: Eukaryota; Metazoa; Chordata; Mammalia; Primates; Hominidae
Source: Rfam by way of RNAcentral
GCCGGGCGUGGUGGCGCAUGCCUGUAAUCCCAGCUACUUGAGAGGCUGAGACAGGAGAAUCGCUUGAACCCAGGAGGUGGAGUUGGCAAUGAGCUGAGAUCACGCCACUGCACUCCAGCCUGGGCGACAGAGCGAGACUCCGUCUCAA